GGGUUGUGAGGUUAAGCGACUAAGCGUACACGGUGGAUGCCCUGGCAGUCAGAGGCGAUGAAGGACGUGCUAAUCUGCGAAAAGCGUCGGUAAGGUGAUAUGAACCGUUAUAACCGGCGAUGUCCGAAUGGGGAAACCCAGUGCAAUUCGUUGCACUAUCGUUAACUGAAUACAUAGGUUAACGAGGCGAACCGGGGGAACUGAAACAUCUAAGUACCCCGAGGAAAAGAAAUCAACCGAGAUUCCCCCAGUAGCGGCGAGCGAACGGGGAGCAGCCCAGAGUCUGAAUCAGCUUGUGUGUUAGUGGAACGGUCUGGAAAGUCCGACGGUACAGGGUGAUAGUCCCGUACACCAAAAUGCACAGGCUGUGAACUCGAAGAGUAGGGCGGGACACGUGGUAUCCUGUCUGAAUAUGGGGGGACCAUCCUCCAAGGCUAAAUACUCCUGACUGACCGAUAGUGAACCAGUACCGUGAGGGAAAGGCGAAAAGAACCCCGGCGAGGGGAGUGAAAAAGAACCUGAAACCGUGUACGUACAAGCAGUGGGAGCACCUUCGGGUGUGACUGCGUACCUUUUGUAUAAUGGGUCAGCGACUUAUAUUCUGUAGCAAGGUUAACCAUAUAGGGGAGCCGCAGGGAAACCGAGUCUUAACUGGGCGUUAAGUUGCAGGGUAUAGACCCGAAACCCGGUGAUCUAGCCAUGGGCAGGUUGAAGGUUGGGUAACACUAACUGGAGGACCGAACCGACUAAUGUUGAAAAAUUAGCGGAUGACUUGUGGCUGGGGGUGAAAGGCCAAUCAAACCGGGAGAUAGCUGGUUCUCCCCGAAAGCUAUUUAGGUAGCGCCUCGUGAAUUCAUCUUCGGGGGUAGAGCACUGUUUCGGCUAGGGGGUCAUCCCGACUUACCAACCCGAUGCAAACUACGAAUACCGAAGAAUGUUAUCACGGGAGACACACGGCGGGUGCUAACGUCCGUCGUGAAGAGGGAAACAACCCAGACCGCCAGCUAAGGUCCCAAAGUCAUGGUUAAGUGGGAAACGAUGUGGGAAGGCACAGACAGCCAGGAUGUUGGCUUAGAAGCAGCCAUCAUUUAAAGAAAGCGUAAUAGCUCACUGGUCGAGUCGGCCUGCGCGGAAGAUGUAACGGGGCUAAACCAUGCACCGAAGCUGCGGCAGCGACACUAUGUGUUGUUGGGUAGGGGAGCGUUCUGUAAGCCUGCGAAGGUGACCUGUGAGGGUUGCUGGAGGUAUCAGAAGUGCGAAUGCUGACAUAAGUAACGAUAAAGCGGGUGAAAAGCCCGCUCGCCGGAAGACCAAGGGUUCCUGUCCAACGUUAAUCGGGGCAGGGUGAGUCGACCCCUAAGGCGAGGCCGAAAGGCGUAGUCGAUGGGAAACAGGUUAAUAUUCCUGUACUUGGUGUUACUGCGAAGGGGGGACGGAGAAGGCUAUGUUAGCCGGGCGACGGUUGUCCCGGUUUAAGCAUGUAGGCUGGUUAUCCAGGCAAAUCCGGAUAAUCAAGGCUGAGGUGUGAUGACGAGGCACUACGGUGCUGAAGUAACAAAUGCCCUGCUUCCAGGAAAAGCCUCUAAGCAUCAGGUAACAUCAAAUCGUACCCCAAACCGACACAGGUGGUCAGGUAGAGAAUACCAAGGCGCUUGAGAGAACUCGGGUGAAGGAACUAGGCAAAAUGGUGCCGUAACUUCGGGAGAAGGCACGCUGGUGUGUAGGUGAAGUCCCUGCGGAUGGAGCUGAGACCAGUCGAAGAUACCAGCUGGCUGCAACUGUUUAUUAAAAACACAGCACUGUGCAAACACGAAAGUGGACGUAUACGGUGUGACGCCUGCCCGGUGCCGGAAGGUUAAUUGAUGGGGUUAUCCGUAAGGAGAAGCUCUUGAUCGAAGCCCCGGUAAACGGCGGCCGUAACUAUAACGGUCCUAAGGUAGCGAAAUUCCUUGUCGGGUAAGUUCCGACCUGCACGAAUGGCGUAAUGAUGGCCAGGCUGUCUCCACCCGAGACUCAGUGAAAUUGAACUCGCUGUGAAGAUGCAGUGUACCCGCGGCAAGACGGAAAGACCCCGUGAACCUUUACUAUAGCUUGACACUGAACAUUGAGCCUUGAUGUGUAGGAUAGGUGGGAGGCUUUGAAGCGUGGACGCCAGUCUGCGUGGAGCCAACCUUGAAAUACCACCCUUUAAUGUUUGAUGUUCUAACGUUGGCCCCUGACCGGGGUUGCGGACAGUGUCUGGUGGGUAGUUUGACUGGGGCGGUCUCCUCCCAAAGCGUAACGGAGGAGCACGAAGGUUAGCUAAUCCUGGUCGGACAUCAGGAGGUUAGUGCAAUGGCAUAAGCUAGCUUGACUGCGAGCGUGACGGCGCGAGCAGGUGCGAAAGCAGGUCAUAGUGAUCCGGUGGUUCUGAAUGGAAGGGCCAUCGCUCAACGGAUAAAAGGUACUCCGGGGAUAACAGGCUGAUACCGCCCAAGAGUUCAUAUCGACGGCGGUGUUUGGCACCUCGAUGUCGGCUCAUCACAUCCUGGGGCUGAAGUAGGUCCCAAGGGUAUGGCUGUUCGCCAUUUAAAGUGGUACGCGAGCUGGGUUUAGAACGUCGUGAGACAGUUCGGUCCCUAUCUGCCGUGGGCGCUGGAGAAUUGAGGGGGGCUGCUCCUAGUACGAGAGGACCGGAGUGGACGCAUCACUGGUGUUCGGGUUGUCAUGCCAAUGGCACUGCCCGGUAGCUAAAUGCGGAAGAGAUAAGUGCUGAAAGCAUCUAAGCACGAAACUUGCCCCGAGAUGAGUUCUCCCUGAGACUUUAAGUCUCCUGAAGGAACGUUGAAGACGACGACGUUGAUAGGCCGGGUGUGUAAGCGCAGCGAUGCGUUGAGCUAACCGGUACUAAUGAACCGUGAGGCUUAACCUUACAACGCCGAAG
Molecule: ribosomal RNA, 2923 nt
Filed under: Klebsiella pneumoniae
Lineage: Bacteria; Pseudomonadati; Pseudomonadota; Gammaproteobacteria; Enterobacterales; Enterobacteriaceae
Description: bacterial LSU rRNA
Rfam family: Bacterial large subunit ribosomal RNA
Source: RNAcentral